Molecule: ribosomal RNA, 1119 nt
Filed under: Triticum aestivum (bread wheat)
Lineage: Eukaryota; Viridiplantae; Streptophyta; Magnoliopsida; Poales; Poaceae
Description: partial small subunit ribosomal RNA
Source: RNAcentral
AUGGACACGCAGACGUCCAACCUCACGGCUCUCAUGGAGAAGCUCCUCUCGCGAUUCGACGAGGAGAAGGCAGAGGCAGACAAACGCGCUGAGGUGCAAACCCAGUUCAAUCAGCAGGUAUCCCAGGAGCUGCAAAGUCUGUCGAAACAGAUCGGGAUCACUCAAGCCGAGAUCGAUGACGUGCGGCAGGUGGCAUCUCCCUCGGCCUCGGCCGCGCUGUCCGCCAGGUCCGGCAUCGACAACCCCUCCACCACCGUGCUGCACACGCCGCCGCCCAAGGAAGGACCGCAUCAACCCGCACCGCCACCAUCACCGGGGCUCCGUGCACCCCCAUCUCCAGGUGCGGUGCCCAUGCCGCACGCGUUCACCGGAGGACCGCAGCCUGCGCGACUGGUCAACGAGGGGCCGCCCCUGCUUCCCAGGCUAGAACCACUGGCCGUUCCACCAGCGCACGCCCACCUGCAACAGCCACGGGAGGAUCACGGCAUCAGACCACCUAAACACCAGUUUCCUCGCUUCGACGGUGAGGGUCCACGCCUCUGGCUUGAUCGUUGUUUAGCUUAUUUCGAGCUCUAUCGCGUGCCGGAGCACAAUUGGGUGGCCACCGCAGCGCUCUAUGUCGAGGGUCAUGCCGCGCUCUGGCUCCGAGCGUUUCGGCAGCAGCAUCCAGUUCUUCAUUGGGAUAUGUUCAGACGUGCUCUGGAGGAGGAGUUUGGACCAGAGGAGUUCGAAUCCAUGAUGCACAAUCUCUUGCAGUUGAGGCAGACUGGCAGUGUGGUGGAUUACAGGCAACAGUUCGAAGUUUACAUGUACAACUUGCUGGCACUAGAUGCAACCCUCAGCCCAAAAUUUUUUGUUACUCAGUUCUUAUUAGGCCUGAAGGAUGAGCUCCGAGCAGCAGUACGCAUUCAAGCACCCAAUAGCAUAACGAGGGCCACCGUUUUUGCAAGGAUUCAGGAAGAAGAGCUUCAAAAUCAGCGUUCCAAGUCACGACCGGCGCAUACGGGCAGAUCAUCACCACUGCUCUAUACGGCACCACCGCCAGGAAGACCACCACCAGCACCAUCCACAGGGCCUGCGGUGCCUCUGUCACACCUGAUACAUCUGAUACAAGUGUAG